GUGACAGUGGUUGAUCCUAGCCUCCAGGUGGUCUAUGAUACAUUUGUGAAACCAGAUGAAGAAGUCAUUGACUAUAACACCAGGUUUUCUGGUGUCGAAGAUGACCUGAGGAACACUAGAAUAUUGAUCCGGAUGUCCAAGCCACCUUGUUGAACCUGUUCAGUGCUGACACUGUACUAAUUGGACAUAGCUUUGAAUGGAGUCUGUAUGCUCUUAAGCUAAUUCCUAUUUCAGUUGUGGACGAGACGGUUCU
Lontra canadensis (Northern American river otter) is the source of this 253-nucleotide long non-coding RNA. RefSeq lists it as uncharacterized. The record is from RefSeq and is a predicted model, not a curated record. The transcript is spliced from 3 exons. Lineage: Eukaryota; Metazoa; Chordata; Mammalia; Carnivora; Mustelidae.